GUCUACGGCCAUUCCACCCUGAACGCGGCCGAUCUCAUCUGAUCUGGGAAGCUAAGCAGGGUCGGGCCCGGCUAGUUCGUGGAUGGGAGAACAGCACGGCGGGAAGCCUGGGCA
Molecule: ribosomal RNA, 114 nt
Filed under: Microcebus murinus (gray mouse lemur)
Lineage: Eukaryota; Metazoa; Chordata; Mammalia; Primates; Cheirogaleidae
Source: RNAcentral